Molecule: long non-coding RNA, 923 nt
Organism: Anopheles gambiae (African malaria mosquito)
Lineage: Eukaryota; Metazoa; Arthropoda; Insecta; Diptera; Culicidae
Exons: 2
Source: RefSeq, a predicted model, not a curated record
CGGGAAUUCGAGCAAAUUCCCUUAAACUGGAGCCUUAAACUUACCUUAAACUGAACCAGUUUAAGGGAAAUUUUAGUACAAUUUCAUGAAAACCAACCACUGUGCUUUGCUCUCUCCUGUCAUUUCCAAUUGUCAUCAUCGAAACGUCAAAUGAAAAAACAAAACAAAACCAAAUUGUUCGGUGAUGCUUCAUAAGCUGAAAUCUAAAAUUUGUUUUAUUAUUUCUGUCGGAUUUUCUGCAAAACAUAAAAAGGAUACGUUUAGCGAAAUGGCUUCAAACAACGUGUAUAAAACGAUAACGGCACCGAUGGCAUCAUUUCCAGAUCUCAGCGUAAAAGCGCAGGCAUCGGUAGUACCAGCGACCCUCGUACCAUUAAAGACAUCCAUAUCUACAUCACCAUUAUUCCUUCCUGAAAAUGUACAACAAACCAAUAACCCGGUGAUUAUCAAAACCGAACAAAUGUGCCGGCCAGUACUUACCGUGAAUGCCCCUGUGAAGCUCGUGCAAUGGUCAAAAAAAAUCAUCCUACGUCCUUUCGGCAUCUCCAUUAUCGGCUCCUGGCACUGUGAAUCAAAACAACAAGCCAGUGGUUAUAAAAUCGGGACAAAUGGGCCGACCACUCCUCACCGUGAAUGCCCCUGUGAACCUGGUUCAAUCGUCAGCCAUCGCAUCCUCGCCCCGCGUCCUUUCGGCAUCACCGUCAUCAGCUCCUUGCACUGCGAAACAGGCAAAUAGACCAGUGAUUAUUAAAUCUGAACGAAUUUGCCGACCAGUCCUUCACGUGAAUGCCCCAGCGAAGCUCGUGCAAUCAUUUCAUUUCAUUUCAUUUAUUUCAUACAAUAUCCGCCAUCAAGGCUAAAUAUAAUAGACUUAAAACUAAUUUAAUACUAACAAAUAAACAAAAUAAUUCAUGAAAAACUAA